This 466-nucleotide ribosomal RNA is filed under the name uncultured bacterium. Its description in RNAcentral is "partial 16S ribosomal RNA". It matches the Rfam family "Bacterial small subunit ribosomal RNA", at positions 339 to 795 of the family's 1533-position model. The record is from RNAcentral.
CUACGGGGUGCUGCAGUGGGGAAUAUUGGACAAUGGGGGAAACCCUGAUCCAGCAAUGCCGCGUGUGUGAAGAAGGCCUGCGGGUUGUAAAGCACUUUCGGUUGGGAGGACUGCUUCUAGCACUAAUAUUGUUGGAAGUUGACGUUACCUUCAGAAGAAGCACCGGGUAACUCCGUGCCAGCAGCCGCGGUAAUACGGGAGGGUGCAAGCGUUAAUCGGAAUUACUGGGCGUAAAGCGCGCGUAGGCGGCUAGAUCAGUCGGGUGUGAAAGCCCCGGGCUUAACCUGGGAACUGCAUCCGAUACUGUCUAGCUUGAGUACAGGAGAGGAGAGUGGAAUUCCACAUGUAGCGGUGAAAUGCGUAGAUAUGUGGAGGAACACCAAUGGCGAAGGCAGCUCUCUGGCCUGAUACUGACGCUGAGGUGCGAAAGCGUGGGGAGCAAACAGGAUUAGAUACCCCUGUAGUC